Long non-coding RNA from Marmota monax (woodchuck), 593 nucleotides. RefSeq lists it as uncharacterized. The record is from RefSeq and is a predicted model, not a curated record. The transcript has 2 exons. Lineage: Eukaryota; Metazoa; Chordata; Mammalia; Rodentia; Sciuridae.
CACACACACACACACACACACACACACACACUCACACCCUCUCUGGAGGGGAGGGGAAGGAUCCUGUGACUGUUCAGCCUGUAUCCAGUGGGGACAGAGGCAGCUUUGCAGGGUCUAUGAUGCCUCGCUUCCUGCUGAGGGACCCUCCACCCAAGAGCCACCAUCUGCACUUCCUGAGCUUACCCCAAUACUGCUAUGAAGAAAUUCUGACUCCAAGAAUCUUACAAAUGACUGGGGGACAUAGCCAAAGAAGCAAGCAGCUGCAAUGGACUUUCAGGAAGAAAGGAACACAGCAUACUUGCUAUGGUCUGAAUGUUCGUGUUCCCCAUAAAACUCAUUAAAAUUCUCACCCCCAAGGUAAUGGUAGCAGGCAAUGGAGCCUUUGGGAAAUGAAUAAGUCAUAAGAGUGGGACCCCCAUGAAUGGGAUUCGUACCUUUGUUCAAGAGACUUCAGAGAGGCCCUCAUCCCUAGCAAUGAGGUAUUGUCUGUGAAUCAGAAAGCGUAUACUUACCAGACACUGAAUCUUCUAGUGACUUGAUUUUAGACUUCCCAGCUUUCAGAACAAUGAGAAAUAAAUUUCUUUUGCUUGUAA